UGGACAAACAAAAAUGUACAACCCAAAAUUUCACAAUGUUAGAAACCAUUAAAACAUCAAUUAAAAAAAAAAAGUUAAUGUCAUACACAUAGAAAUAUACUUUACAAGUGUAAGCUGCAUUUCCAAAGAAAAUAUUCUUGAGCAUAUUCCUAUUGAAACACAACCAGAAUAAUGGCUUUCUUGAAGUAUAUACUGCGUAUACCAUAAAAGUCACUCAUUGUAAGUGGACAGUGCAAUAAUCUUUGGUAAAUUUAUACAAUUGUACAAGAAACACUGAGCUUCAGGGCAUUUCCUUCAUGCCAAAAUAUUCCCUUCUGACUGUAUGCAGACAAUCCCUGCUCCCACAUUUGGGGAAAUGGAAUGCAGAUUGAAGGGUGACUCAUUUCUAAUACGACCUGCAGAGUGCUAAAGCUGAAGCUAAAUGCCACCCAGGAAGGUGUGACCCACUUCUGCUGAGGAAUGACGAAAAUGCUCAGAAUCUCCAUACCAGGGAACAAAAGCUCAAGGCUGAAGUGAGCGACCUGGCAAGGAUAAGGAGAAGCUGGACUCUCAGCCUUGGCCCCCUUCCUCGCAGCCUGGUGCCUGGAAUCAUUACCAGUCUAUGACCAUCUUGCACCAAGUUCAGAGCUUCAAGUUCCCCACAGUAUCCUGUUUGUUCAUAUGUGGAGAAGGUGACCUCAGAUCUAGAGUCACCAAGAGCUUCACAGGAGGAGUUACACAUGCACGUAUUGGGGAGUUCCUGCUCCUGAAAUUCCACAGCCCCAUCUCACACCCUGGAUUGUUGGAGAGCUCCGAUGGAGUGUGGAGGAGAGGAGGACACAAGUCACUGCCUAUGGCCUCAGGAAAACCAAUUCACGGGAGUACGCAUGGGUCCUGAGUGGCGUCAGCUGUAAGAAGGUCUCAUCCAUGGGCCUACUUCACCCAACUCCCCUGGAGCAGGCCCAGCAUUUUCCCAUCAACUGUGGAACAUCUCUCACUCUCUUGUGAUCCAUAAAGAAGUUUCCUGGCCUCAGGCCUCUAAUUUUCCCUUUGACUAAUCCCCCUCUUCCUGACUUCACAACUGAAGCCUCACGUACCUAGGGAGUGUUCCAGGCCAGCUCUGUGCCUAGAACUCCUCCCGGGCCUCUAUCCUCACACAGCAUCUCACAUCCUUGUGCCUCAUCCUGGGACACAGCGAGCCGCAGCCAGCCCUGAGCACAGGGGCCUGGGAGGGAGGGGAAGUCUCUGCUCUGAUCCCUGGAUUUGGUUCCCCUAACUUCAAGUUAACUUUCUGUGCCUCACUGUCCUCAGGAACAGGCAGGUCACGUGGAAAUGGAGCACUGUUCUUCCGGUGCUCUAACGUCACUUAUGUCUUUUCUAACAGUUCCCUUUCUCUGCUGAGAUGUGCAUGUCACCCAAAUCCUUGCAAUGAGCGUAUAAAUAAAUUUAGGGGUAAUUGACUGUUCUGACCAUAA
Long non-coding RNA from Diceros bicornis minor, 1454 nucleotides. RefSeq lists it as uncharacterized. Lineage: Eukaryota; Metazoa; Chordata; Mammalia; Perissodactyla; Rhinocerotidae. The transcript has 3 exons. The record is from RefSeq and is a predicted model, not a curated record.